RNAcentral lists this ribosomal RNA (253 nucleotides) under uncultured bacterium. Its description in RNAcentral is "partial 16S ribosomal RNA". It matches the Rfam family "Bacterial small subunit ribosomal RNA", at positions 524 to 776 of the family's 1533-position model. The record is from RNAcentral.
UACGGAGGGUGCAAGCGUUAAUCGGAAUUACUGGGCGUAAAGGGUGCGUAGGUGGUUUAAUAAGUUAUCUGUGAAAUACCUGGGCUUAACCUGGGCAGGUCAGAUAAGACUGUUAGACUAGAGUAUGGGAGAGGGUAGAGGAAUUUCCGGUGUAGCGGUGAAAUGCGUAGAGAUCGGAAGGAACACCAGUGGCGAAGGCGUCUACCUGGCCUAAUACUGACACUGAGGCACGAAAGCGUGGGGAGCGAACAGG